Long non-coding RNA from Notothenia coriiceps (black rockcod), 6043 nucleotides. RefSeq lists it as uncharacterized. The record is from RefSeq and is a predicted model, not a curated record. NCBI's taxonomy places the organism in Eukaryota, Metazoa, Chordata, Actinopteri, Perciformes, Nototheniidae. The transcript has 2 exons.
CUGAGGAAGUGUGACUGGAGCGUGACUCAAAACGGCAGGCAUUAUGGCCCCAGUGCCACUGACGACACUUUGGGGAUUACUUGGCAAAGUCCUGGUACCUGGGCGAGCUUAGUUCCAUUCCAAGUAUCGAACGGGACUCCGAUUCUGCCAACAAAUGUCCACCAGAACUACAGCAUAAACAUCAUUGGUGAGCCGCUGGUCCCCGCUGAGACAGGGAACUGAACACAAAGCCCCCCCCCCCCAGGGUGGAUGCAUGGCCGGGGGGUGCUGGUGGUGCACAGCCAGCCCUACAGGUGUCCGCAGCCAUGGAUGAAACCAGCAAAGCAGCACGAAGCUGCACAAUCGUCCCCUAACUCCCCAUCUCUCCCCCUUCCGUGCCCCCCUCCCACUCCCCCUUUUGAAGGACACUGGCCGUGAAGUGAAGGGUUUUUUCGGAGGAAAGAAAAAAAGCUUCAGGUCUGCCGUGUCCCCUCCGCCUCGCCAUCUCCACCUCCACCCACCAGUCAGUCGUUGUGUUGGAAGAACUUCUCAAUCCAUUCAAAUACUGUGAUGUAUAGAUGCCUUAAUGUUUUAUUGCAUGACACUCUAGUCUCUUAGCGGCAAUUCCUACUAUUUUUCCGUGCUGUGGGAGGAAGUAAAAUCUUGAUUUACACACACACAUACAUGAAGAGGUCUGCGCAGCGACAACCUCUGCCUGGUGGAUGGCUCUGAGACUCUAAGCUCUCCGGUCAGACCUCUUGAAAAGAGGCCCCCCCCCGCGUGAAACGAUUCACUGUGUACACCAUAGGAACAAAAAAUUGUGAAUUCAGAGUUUCUUCUUGCGUUUGAUUUCAGUUUACUGUGAUACGACUCUCUGUUCAGAAAAAUGUGUUGACUUUGUUUAUUCUUUACUGCUACUUACUUUAAGAAUUAACGUGAAUACUUACGGUAAGAGUUGAGAACUCUUGAUGCGGUUUUAAAAAAACACUAAAUGUUUGGCUUGAGAUUGGACCCCUCAUUAAAAGAAUUUGCAACUCCUUUACAAAAGGAUCUAAAAAGACGGAGAAUAGGAAAAUCGCGAUAGAGGCAAGUGCAAUGGAAUUUUUUGAAGGGAAGCUAUCAGUCUGUCAGCCCUAAGACUCUAAAGGAAAGGGGAUAAAUAUUAAAUGGUUUUAUGGGUAAAAUGUUUAAGAAAACAUUUGAAUUUGAUUUCACUCACAUAUCCGUCUUCUCACAUGAGAAAAACAUAGAGCGUGGAAGGCAGUUGAAGGCAAGCACUGAGCUGCCGGUGCAGCGCUGAGCAAAACCAGCUCUUCUUUUGAGCCCUUCCCAUCAAUAGGGGAAGUAUUUUAUAUUUAUUUUGGGGAAAAAAUAAGCGAACAUAAGUAAUGAGACACACAAAGUGUGUACAAAUUGCAUUUAAUUGUUUUUUAAAAUGUUCACGAUAAGAUCAAGAGCGUAUGCAUUUGGCCAUCAGCUUCUAAAGCUUAUGUUUACAAAAAAAUAUAUGGAAUGCAAAGUGUUAAUCCAUGGAAAUGUACAAUUCAUGCAAAUGUACAGCAGGCUUAUGUGUAAAGCUACAGUUUGUGCAAGGUGAACUCUAAAGCGGAAGAGGUUUAAAACUGCAAGAUGAAUCCAGGUGGUGGCAAAUCCCUGAAAUCUAGAAUUGUGCACGGCAUGUUCACAGCCAUUGCCUCUCCAGUCCAGACAUAUUUAUACAAGGAAAAUCUCUCCAGUACUCUUAAUUUGCACGAUGACAUAUAGUCCACAUUACGUGCCUUGCCUUUGAAUAUAGAGACAUCACUACACUUGUUUUUGCUGCAUUUAUCAUUAUAGAAAAAAAUUAACAUUUUUAUGAUAAGAAUUGUUUUGUACUCUGAAUGAAAUUGUUGAUUUUUAACUUCAUGUACUACUCUAUUUCACAGUUACAUUGCAUAUCAAGGCUGUGUAUAGUUGCCGUUUUAAAGUUUGUAAUCAACCAGCAUUUUUUUUUUUUUUCUCAGUAUUUUUGGUGGUUUUUCUAAUAACCUGUCAUUUUUUUGUUUUCCUUAUUUUUCAAUGCUCAUUUUGUUCAUCUUCCAAUUACUAUUGUGGAGGGUGGAAUUCAGAAUUAUGAAAAUUAUGCAAUACCAAGUUUUGCCUAUGUAGGUAGUGCUUAUAGAUGCGUCAAUUAUUAGAGGCUAGUUUGGAGAUAGACAAUAUUGUAAUGCAUUUAUUUUGUUGAUAUCGUUGUUUGUCGUUGUUGUUGUUGAUGAUGUUGUUGUUGUUGUGGGUGUUUUUCCUUUUUUAUUGACCAAAGUGGGGACUGCUUUCUAUGCAGUGUAUGACAAGGUCUUUAUCUUUUUUUUCUUUUUUUAGCAUUUAGGCCUACCGAAUGACGGUGUGUUCCAGUGUAUUUUGAAUUCGCAAGUUUUAGAGGGAGGGGCGGUAUUUUUCUAGAAGUACUUUUUUUUAAAAGUGCACCCUUGGUCUUUAAACGGCUGCAAAGUCACUGAUUGGUCUACUGUGACUCUUACUUUUAACUUUCCACCUGGGGUGCUAGCAUGUGACCUUGAAGGAGCUCAUUUUUCACAGGAGAGACGGCUUGACUUGAGUAUGACAAUCAUUUUAAGAAAUCAUUUUGCGUCAAAUCCCAUUCUCUCACAGAUCCCUUAAAGCUGCAACUGAGGACGGAUACCGUUGCACGCUUGUAUCGAGUACUACGCCGUACUAUUCUAGACGUCACCUGAAUGCAAUUCCCAAGUAGAUGCCUUAAACACAUCAGUGAAGUGGCCUGUGACCUGCGCAACAAUCACACACCGACUAUUGCUAGUGAGACCUGUCCAAAUCAGUUCCAGACGGGCUCGAGCAAGCCUUUAGAAAGUAUUUUAUAAGUAGUAGAUUUGUAUAAAUGUAUAUACGAUAUGCACAUAUGUCAAUUCCUGAGAUACUUCCCCAGCAGAGAGCCCAGUAGAAGUAAAUAUUGGAAGCACAGAAGCGUGGUGUUUUCUGAUUUCGUGUCCUGUGGCCCCGUAGAAGCUUAAAUAGAAUUCACUAGAAGAAAAGAAUAGCACUUAUCUAGCACAUAGGCAAUCUUCUUCUCCCCCGUACAGUGUUUUGAAACCUAGUCUUAAACUAAACUCUCAGGCGUAAUACAGGGCAUUAUUUAUAUCAAUCAUUAUCAUAAAAAAAACUCUUCUCACAGAGAGAGCAGCGUUUCCGAUGCUGCUAUGACACCUUUUGCACUCUUUCCUUACAAUCGUGAAAGAAACGUUCCCCUCGGACAGACCGGGGCUCUCCGGCAGUCGUAAGCAGAGGGCUAAGAAGCAGAAAUCGUUUUUAAAAAUAAUCCUCAAGUCAAGCUCAAUCUCUCCGUUUUCACCCAUAUUUCUUAUGCAGAAAAUGUUUAAAAAGUCACCCCGUUCUAUGUGCACUGUUCUGUCUUUUUUCGUUGUUUUAUUCUUUUUAUUUGAGAAGAAAAACUAUAAGUGCUUUGCAGCCUUUGGCCAUUGGAGACCCCACUGACGUGCAUUGUCCCCAGUGUGUGUGUGUGUGUGUGUGUGUGUGUGUGUGUGUGUGUGUGUGUGUGUGUGUGUGUGUGUGUGUGUGUGUGUGUGUGUUUGCCUGUGAGUGUGCGUGAUAAAAUGUGUCAGGGUCACUGUGCUGUUGGUGUUUAUUUGAAUAGGAGGCUGUACAUAAAGGUAAAUAUCCUGAUUGCGUCGAUAGCAGUAGUCUGUGUGGUUGAACUCUGCGUUGGCAGCUUGAGUGUUAGUGUGCGUCUGUGUGUGUGUCUGUGUGAUAGAGUGCCUCUGACACUACACAAUGAGAGAAGAUGAGGGUCUUCCUAUUGAAUUAAAAAAAAAAAAGCCUGCCAUAGGACAGGAGUUUGUACACUGGAAACUUUCUCGAGAGUUCUCCUCUUUAAGCCCUUAUUUGUAAAUCUUCAAUUCUGGGGAAAAAUGUGUCAAUUCCAUUUUAGGAACAUUUUUGAAUUUGGUAUUUGUUUUGGAGGCUGGAUUUGAGUUAGAACUCUCCAGGAUUUCCAGAUUAUUAGAAUCUAAAGUGUUGUAUUCCUGUAUGUAUAGUAAAUAUAGGGGGAAAAUAUUCUAUACAGAUCCAUAGAUAUAAAAAAAAACCGACAACAAUGAAGGCUUUUUGUUAUUAAUAUUAUUAUUUCUGAUCUUGGUUGGUUAGUGCUUAGAUAUUUACAUUUGGGAAACACUUCAUGAAUAUUUGAAUUAUUGUUCUUUGAUUAGUGUGGCCAUAGCGAGUUUGAUGUGAUUUAUCUCAUUUUUUUGCAAAUGGGUGUGAAUUCUUGUCCAACAAGAUGUUGGUGUGAGUGUGUUUCGGUAGCAGCUGGGAGGUGUCUUCACUGAACCAGUAGAAAAGGCCCCAGAUUGCACCUGAACUUGAGCGAGAAGCAGGGUAAAACUUGCAGUGACAAACGUCCUCGAUGAAUCUAUCAGAUAGUUUCUUUUUUUUCUUUUUCGCUUCUUCUCAGAGGAAAUGUUGUGGGACGAUUGGUGCUACAUUUGGACUCAGAUCAGAUUCGGCAGGCCAAUGUUGAGCUGUUUAGUUAGUUUGUAUGCAGACGACACUCUUUAAUAUCUCUCUUAUGAUCAGUAACUACAUCUAGGCAGCACUCAUUUUGCACAUUCCGCAUGCUGUUUAUGCCUGAUGUGAUGUAAAAACACUUCAUUAACACUACGAACCAACAUCACAUUGUACUGCAGGUGCUUUAGAAUAGGGUACUGUACCUUCCAGCUGUUAAAAGCUAAUGUAUUUGGGCAUGGUCACGUAUUUCUAUCGCUACGCAGAGUGUGGAUGUAGCCUGUUAGAAAGCUCUUGAAACUUGUUAUUAGUCUACCAUCCCUUCAGAAAGAGCCAUAUCCAAGGCAGAUUUCACAACAUUAUUUCAGAAAGUAUUAGAAAACAGGACAUCUUUAUGCAAGGAGGACCUGUGGCACUCAUGCAAUAUGUAUACUUUUCUUUUAACUGAAUGUCACACACUCUGCAGGGACUGAGAGGGCGUAUGCAUGCAGAGGACAUUUCAUUUUCAUCCUACACGAGCAAUACACACCUUCCAUUCGUUGGCUAGCUGCUAGUCACUUGGCAUCAGGUUGUUAUAAAACAUGAAAAACCAGCAUUUUUACAGGAUGUAACAUUCACCAAAAGAAGACAAAAAAGAUAGCAAUGCAGUGCCUGUUCAAGCUGUCCGAGUGUCUAUUGUAUAUAAUUGUAAAAUGUGAUAGACUUACUUUCAUAUGUGACAUGAAAAACAACCAUCACAGUACAGAAUGUGGCAAACUCAUCUAGAAAUAGGCUCUUUAUUUCUUCUGAUGUUUUUUUGUUGCGAUUUAUUAACUAUGCCCACAUCAAGCUUGUUCAAAAUUUGAGAGGAGAUGUUCAUUCUUCUUCUUUUUUCUUUUGUUUUCCGGGAGGGGCGCGGCGGGGGGGGGGGGGGGUCAGUGCUAUUACGAGCAGUGAAAAGAUCAAAUAAUGUCUUUUCUCGUCACCAUUUUUUUCUUUGCAGGGCUGAUUUAUUUUUGGGGUCUUGUGGCACUUUUAAGUCCCUCUGCGCACACAUUUUUGACCACGUGAUUGAUGGUGGAAUUAUAUAUAACGAACAACAACAACAACACCAACAAAACGAUAUGUAAACAGUCUCCAGUAGUGAUCGUAGUUACACUGCAAGUGUGUGCAAAGGUCUAUGUAUGUAUCUGAAUGUACGUUUUAGAGGACUUUUUGGAAACCUUUUUUGUUUUUUAUCUUUUCAUUGACAGUUUAGGAGCCACAGGUGUCCAUUGUGAACUGUAUAGCGAAGGCCUUGAUAUCCCUUCUUUUAUUGAUUUUAGAAACGCCGAGCAUUAGGCAAUGCCUUCAAGCUGGUUACAUUUGGUGCAGGGGCUAAAAUUGCCACAAGAUUAAAAUCAGUGUAAAUAAAGGCUAAACUUUUUGUGAUUGUUACUGUUAUAUCCAGCCUAUACUGCUAGCAGCUGUUUUUACUGCAGUCAAUUACUGGAAGUGGAUAUAUUUCCUAUGCAAAACUGUUUAAACAAUAAAAUGAGCUAUGCUACAAAAACGA